AUGCAACUUGUCUCUGGGGGUCAUACGGCGGUGGCUGUUAACGGGCAGACCAGUAAUUUCUUUGCGAAUGGUAGGGGUUUGAGACAAGGGGAUCCGGCGUCUCCCCUGCUUUUCAACUUUGUGGCUGAUGCUCUCUCCCGCAUUCUGGCUCGUGCAGCGGCUGCUGGACAUAUUUCGCCUGUUAGUUCUCAUCUCAUUCCUAAUGGCAUUUCUCACUUACAAUAUGUGGAUGCAGGGCCGGUCCUAAGAUUUUGGGGGCCCGGGGCGAAACGACAAUCUGGGGCCCUUUGGGGCCCUUAG
Molecule: ribosomal RNA, 300 nt
Filed under: Triticum aestivum (bread wheat)
Lineage: Eukaryota; Viridiplantae; Streptophyta; Magnoliopsida; Poales; Poaceae
Description: partial small subunit ribosomal RNA
Source: RNAcentral